This 294-nucleotide ribosomal RNA is filed under the name Triticum aestivum (bread wheat). Its description in RNAcentral is "partial small subunit ribosomal RNA". Lineage: Eukaryota; Viridiplantae; Streptophyta; Magnoliopsida; Poales; Poaceae. The record is from RNAcentral.
AUGGAGGUGGUUGACACCAUAAAGAAAGGAGGACGAUCGUCGGGAGCAGCGGUGGCAAUUUUUGAUGAUUGUUUUCAUUUAGCUUGUGAUUUUCCCAUUUCUAGAUUUGAGCAUUGUAACAAAGAAGCAAAUAGAGUUGCUCAUGAACUUGCAAAAUUGGCUAGAUUUUCUUUUAUUUCUUUAUGGUUCGAGGAGCCAAAUAGUGAUAUUGUACCAAUUCUCGUAAACAAUGUAAUGGUUAUUUUGAAUAAAGCUCGAUUUUCUUUCAAAAACGAUGUAAUGGUUAUUUUCUAG